CGCGCCUGGGACACCGCCGAAGUGCCUCGGACGCCGCUGUCGCGCUGCGGGGUGCGGACGCCGCCCACGCACCCUAGACGCCUCCGACUGCAGCUGACGCCGUCAGCGCCUGGGACUCCGCCAAUGAAGCUACUGUGCAGGAUCUUAGUGCAACAUUGCGCUGCAGGCUGGGACCAGGGUGGACUCAGGUAGCGGAGGAGCUGUGCCAGCGUUUACAGCGAAAGGAAAUGAUGCUGCAGGACCUUCUGAGUGAUCGACACAAACAAGUGGGUGGAACACGAAAUUGAGAUUCAAGGCCUGCUUCAGUCUGUGAACUCCAGAGAGCAGGAAAGCCAGGUUGCUGCAGAGAAGUUGGCGCAAACCUUGACCGAAAGAAAUUCAGAAUUACAGGCCCUGUGCCAGUAUUUGGAAGGGAGAGACUCCAUGAUGUUCCAAGCACCCAUCUCUAACCAACGAGCUGAAAUUCCCUCCAUUGGCCCCCCUCUUGGAGAACAGACUGAUCAAGGUCCAGUGCAGAUACCUUCCAUAGAUGAUAGUCCUUUAUUGACUGCCAAAGAAGAUGCCAGCAUACCCAGAUCCGCAUUAGAAUCUGUCAUUGCCCAGGCUGGACUGCAGUGGCACCAUCUCAGCUCAAGCGAUCUUCCCAACUCAGCCUCCGAAAGUGGAGCUAGAACUACAGGCAUACGUCACCAUUCUUGCUAGUUUGUUUGUUUUGUUUUGUUUUUUUAGAGAUGGGGUUUCACCAUCCUGGCCAGGCUUGUCUGGAACUCCUAGCCUCAAAUGAUCCACCUGCCUCAGCCUCCCAAAGUGCUGGGAUUACAGGUGUGAGCCUGGCUGACAUCUUUCUUAGUGCAUCACAUCAGUUCAUUAUAAUCAGUUUGUAUCAUCCUUGGUGAUAUUAAAUUUAGUCAUUUGGUUAAGAUUGUAGCUGCCAAAUCUCUCCAUUGUAAAAGGUUCAUUUUCCCCUUUAUAUGUAAAUCAUCUGCUGGCUGAAUUGGAGAUGUUGACAGUUCUGUUUUCCAACAGUCAUUCACUCUGGCUGUAAUAUCAUUUGAGCCUUGCUUGAACCAACUCUUACGUUGGUAGCUUUAAAAUAGUGAUUUUCAGGACCGGGCACGGUGGCUCAUGCCUUUAAUCCCAGCAGUUUGGGAGGCCCAGGAGAGUGGAUCACUUGAGCUCAGGAGUUCGAGGCCAGCCCGGCCAAUAUGAUGAAACUAAGUCUCUACUAAAAACACAAAGAUUAGUCGGGCGUGGUGGCACAUGCCUGCAAUCCCAGCUAUGCAGGAGACUGUGGCAGGAGAACCACUUGAAUCCGGGAGGCAGAAAGAGUGCCCCACUGCACACCAGGCUUGGUGACAGAAUGAGACUUGGUCUUAAAAAAAAAAAAAUUAAGAUUUUUCUGUUUCUAAAAUUUUUUUAUUUCUUGUGGAUAUUAUUUUAUAAAGAAGAGCUGUCCUUUCCCUAUCUCUGUACCCCAUUUGUUUUUAUCUAUAUGGUUUUUAAAAAAUCAUUAUAUUAUUGAUUUUGGUCAUGAUUUCCUUAACUCCUCAAAUUAACCCAGAUUCGGUCAGUGGGAACCUCAUCGAGCUGUUUCUCCGACCCUUUGCCAUAUCCCCACCAGUUUUUUUGGUUGGUUGGUUUUUUGUUUUUUGCACUUUCCUGGUUUCUGGUACAAUAAGAUGUUCUAUGACUACCUUUUACUUACCUGUCUCAGUCCCAGAAUCAGCCAUUAUCCUAAAGAGCUCCCUGGUUCCUUUUGGUGGAUAAUGGCAUUGAAAAACUGUGAUCUGGGCAUCAGAUGUCUUUAUUGCUACGUGAAUACCUUUUGCUUCUAGGCCGUUUUAAGUGAACAGAGCUAGCAGUGGAUAUUUUUAAGUAUAAUGUAUGUAUUUGUAUACAUAUGAAGAUUUGAUACUGAUUUCUGUAAUUCAACUUUAACAUUAUGGUUCUUUUUUCCUUCAUUUCAUAUUUGUAUCUGCUUGAGAGCUCCGGUUAUUUAUAACAUCAAUAUAUUUCAAAGGAUUUACACAUUUGCAUAAUACUAUAAUAUACAAAAGUAGUUUCUGAAUUACUACAUGAAUACCAGUAUCAACAGUAAAUGUAUUAUGUGAUGUUUACAUUUUUUUGUAAUUCUUUUUAUCCUGAAGGUAUUUUUGUAAUUCUUUUUCUCCUUGGGGUAUUUUGGACUGACGGUGUUCCGUUAGUGAGUUCAAAAAUUAUUUGGAUUAAUUUGUCUUAUUCUGGGUGGUUUUAUCAUUUUUUUACUACAUAGAUUCAUUUAUUUCUAUUAGGAUUUAACUUUAGGUUUUUUAUCUCCCUUUGUCAAGCUGACUUACAUAUUAAGAAUUAAACCUUAACACAGUUCAAAACUCCAGUAUAUAAAAUGAUAUACUCAGAUGUUUCAUCUCUUUCCCUAUCCCUUCAUUCCUGUUUCCAUUCAUCUCCUGAAGGUAAUCAGUUUCAUUUCUGGGUUAUUCUUCCUCUAUAUUUUUUUUCAGAAAUCAGCAAAUGAAUCAUCUGUGUAUAUGUAAUGUAUAUAUGUAUAUUCUUAUUCCCCCUUUUCCUAAUGUAAAACCUACUACCUUAGAUGUAUUCUUGAGCACGUAGAUUGUUUUCCUUAACAUAUUCUCAGGAUUUCUAAACCAUUCCAUUUAAGUUCAUAAAGAUCGUUCUUAUUCCCUUUUUAUAGCAGUAUGUAGUUCCAUCUGUGAAUAUACUCGAUUUCAUUCAGUCUUUUCUUGAUAGCAUGCAGGAUGAUUGCAGUGUUUUGCUGUUAUAAAUAAUGCUACAAAGAACAACCUGCGUAUAUGUUUUAUUUUUUUCUUAUUAUUGGAAUGUGUCCUCAGUAAAUGACUCAAAGGAGGCAGUCGAUAUCACAUUAUGUUAAUAGCAAUUAAAACUAGCACUCUAUUUUCA
This is a non-coding RNA of Callithrix jacchus (white-tufted-ear marmoset), 2916 nucleotides long. NCBI's taxonomy places the organism in Eukaryota, Metazoa, Chordata, Mammalia, Primates, Cebidae. The record is from RefSeq and is a predicted model, not a curated record.